CCUACGGGGGGCUGCAGUGGGGAAUAUUGGACAAUGGGGGGAACCCUGAUCCAGCCAUGCCGCGUGUGUGAAGAAGGCCCUCGGGUUGUAAAGCACUUUCAGUGAGGAAGAACGCCUGGUGGUUAAUACCCAUCAGGAAAGACAUCACUCACAGAAGAAGCACCGGCUAACUCCGUGCCAGCAGCCGCGGUAAUACGGAGGGUGCGAGCGUUAAUCGGAAUUACUGGGCGUAAAGCGCGCGUAGGUGGCUUGAUAAGCCGGUUGUGAAAGCCCCGGGCUCAACCUGGGAACGGCAUCCGGAACUGUCAAGCUAGAGUGCAGGAGAGGAAGGUAGAAUUCCCAGUGUAGCGGUGAAAUGCGUAGAGAUCGGGAGGAAUACCAGUGGCGAAGGCGGCCUUCUGGACUGACACUGACACUGAGGUGCGAAAGCGUGGGUAGCAAACAGGAUUAGAUACCCCUGUAGUC
This 465-nucleotide ribosomal RNA is filed under the name Vreelandella stevensii. RNAcentral's name for it is "partial 16S ribosomal RNA". It matches the Rfam family "Bacterial small subunit ribosomal RNA", at positions 338 to 795 of the family's 1533-position model. The record is from RNAcentral. Lineage: Bacteria; Pseudomonadati; Pseudomonadota; Gammaproteobacteria; Oceanospirillales; Halomonadaceae.